AUACGGAAGGUCCGGGCGUUAUCCGGAUUUAUUGGGUUUAAAGGGAGCGCAGGCGGGGAUGCAAGCGUGACGUCAAAUUUCGGGGCUCAACCCCGUCUCGCGUCGCGAACUGCGUCCCUUGGUUGCGGGAAGGGGAGGCGGAACUCGUGGUGUAGCGGGGAAAUGCAUAGAUAUCACGAAGAACUCCGAUCGCGAAGGCAGCCUUCCGGCCCGUCAACGACGCUCAUGCUCGAAGGUGCGGGUAUCAAACAGGAUUAGAUACCCUGGUAGUCCGCACAGUAAACGAUGGACACCCGCGGUUUGGCCUGUAUGGCUGAGCCGCCAAGCGAAAGCGUUAAGUGUCCCACCUGGGGAGUACGCCGGCAACGGUGAAACUUAAAGGAAUUGACGGGG
RNAcentral lists this ribosomal RNA (393 nucleotides) under uncultured bacterium. RNAcentral describes it as "partial 16S ribosomal RNA". It matches the Rfam family "Bacterial small subunit ribosomal RNA", at positions 523 to 918 of the family's 1533-position model. The record is from RNAcentral.